AUGACUAAUUUGCAAGGUACAGCAGCGCGGAAGCAGCAACAGUCAUGUUCUCAAGCUUUGAUUUUGUAUAUAGAGCUAACGAUCCAUGCCCAAUAUGAAAAAAUAUCAUUUCUGCUUGGUCUUUUGUCCUUGGACCCUUCAAGAUGGCCAUCCCCUACUCCAUCAGAGUCCCUUGCUAUAAAAAAUCAGAAGUUUUCAGAUUUAGUUGUCAAAUGCUUAAUUAAGUUGACAAAGGUUCUUCAGAGUACAAUAUAUGAGGUUGACCUUGAUUGCAUUCUUCAAAGUGUUCAUAUUUAUUUACAAGAACUUGGAAUGGAAGAGAUAUGGAGGAGGGCUGGAGCUGAUAACAAGCCAUUAAGAAUGGUCAAAAUUGUGCUACAUGAACUUGUAAAGCUACGAGGCACAGCAAUAAAAGGUCACCUUUCAAUGGUUCCUAUAGACUCUGAGCAUACAUCGAUCUUAAUCUCCAGACCCUUGCAGCAGCUAGGAUGUUAA
RNAcentral lists this ribosomal RNA (495 nucleotides) under Triticum aestivum (bread wheat). Its description in RNAcentral is "partial small subunit ribosomal RNA". The record is from RNAcentral. Lineage: Eukaryota; Viridiplantae; Streptophyta; Magnoliopsida; Poales; Poaceae.